GUAAAAAUAAGAAUUUAUCGAAAUAAUUUGCUUCGGCAAAAUCUGCAAGAUGCAGAAA
The submitters of this non-coding RNA (58 nucleotides) gave its source as unclassified sequences. The record is from Rfam.